This 70-nucleotide transfer RNA is filed under the name Pelophylax sp. GM4-14. RNAcentral's name for it is "tRNA-Asn". Lineage: Eukaryota; Metazoa; Chordata; Amphibia; Anura; Ranidae. The record is from RNAcentral.
UAGAAUGAAGCUCGCUGGAUAGAGUGACCUGUUAACUAAAAUAUUACGGGAUCGAGGCCCGUCAUUCUAG